Molecule: long non-coding RNA, 229 nt
Filed under: Elaeis guineensis (African oil palm)
Lineage: Eukaryota; Viridiplantae; Streptophyta; Magnoliopsida; Arecales; Arecaceae
Description: long non-coding RNA (EGUI_LNC061307)
Source: RNAcentral
CUAGAUUGAUCCACUCGAAGCCUUACGCUGAUUUAUUUCUUUGGGAGUGCUAGCUUGCAUAGAAAUUACCGUAGAUGGCUGAUCUACUGCUUUCUUCAGAUCGCUCAAACUCCUCUAAAACUAAAGAAAGACAAGGAAGAUCUAGUGAAGGAAAUAAAGAUAGAGAACUGCUUUCUCUCUUGUUUUUUUCUCAUCCAAAAACCUAGAUCUGAUCUUGGUAUCUCACCCA